AGGACGAACGCUGGCGGCGCGCCUAACACAUGCAAGUCGAACGAGCAAAGAGGAGCUUGCUUCUCUGAGCGAGUGGCGAACGGGUGAGUAACGCGUGAGGAACCUGCCUCAAAGAGGGGGACAACAGUUGGAAACGACUGCUAAUACCGCAUAAGCCCACAGCUCGGCAUCGAGCAGAGGGAAAAGGAGCAAUCCGCUUUGAGAUGGCCUCGCGUCCGAUUAGCUAGUUGGUGAGGUAACGGCCCACCAAGGCGACGAUCGGUAGCCGGACUGAGAGGUUGAACGGCCACAUUGGGACUGAGACACGGCCCAGACUCCUACGGGAGGCAGCAGUGGGGAAUAUUGCACAAUGGGGGAAACCCUGAUGCAGCGACGCCGCGUGGAGGAAGAAGGUCUUCGGAUUGUAAACUCCUGCUGUUGAGGAAGAUAAUGACGGUACUCAACAAGGAAGUGACGGCUAACUACGUG
This 468-nucleotide ribosomal RNA is filed under the name uncultured bacterium. Its description in RNAcentral is "bacterial SSU rRNA". It matches the Rfam family "Bacterial small subunit ribosomal RNA", at positions 26 to 507 of the family's 1533-position model. The record is from RNAcentral.